GGAGGGCUGGCCGAGUGGUCUAAGGCGGCGGAUUGCUAAUCCGCAGCAGGGGUACUACUCCUGUCGAGAGUUCGAAUCUCUCGUCCUCCG
This 90-nucleotide transfer RNA is filed under the name Actinoplanes utahensis. It matches the Rfam family "tRNA". Rfam says of the family: Transfer RNA (tRNA) molecules are approximately 80 nucleotides in length. Their secondary structure includes four short double-helical elements and three loops (D, anti-codon, and T loops). The record is from Rfam by way of RNAcentral. Lineage: Bacteria; Bacillati; Actinomycetota; Actinomycetes; Micromonosporales; Micromonosporaceae.